RNAcentral lists this transfer RNA (74 nucleotides) under Terriglobia bacterium. Its description in RNAcentral is "tRNA-Ala". It matches the Rfam family "tRNA". Rfam says of the family: Transfer RNA (tRNA) molecules are approximately 80 nucleotides in length. Their secondary structure includes four short double-helical elements and three loops (D, anti-codon, and T loops). Lineage: Bacteria; Pseudomonadati; Acidobacteriota; Terriglobia. The record is from RNAcentral.
GGGCCUCUCGUUCAACGGGAGGACGGCACGCUUGCACCGUGCAGAUCGGGGUUCGAUUCCCUGGAGGUCCACCA